UUUCAAACAAACAAAUGGUUAAAGGCUCAAAUGGGGUUAACAAUGGAUAAUAAUAAAAGGAUGGCUAGAAAGGCUCAGGGGUAGAAAAAAUGUGCCUUAGUGUAUGUAAUCAUGCACCCGAAAUCAGAAAAGAACGUAUGCAAGUUCUGAAUGAUAAAAACAUACUUGAGUGCUCUCUUAUGAUGUACAUUGUGUUUGGGGUAGAGCUGACAACCUCCACAGUACCUCUUGCU
This 233-nucleotide long non-coding RNA is filed under the name Lathyrus oleraceus (garden pea). RNAcentral's name for it is "Pisum sativum (pea) long non-coding RNA (PSAT_LNC036919)". Lineage: Eukaryota; Viridiplantae; Streptophyta; Magnoliopsida; Fabales; Fabaceae. The record is from RNAcentral.